RNAcentral lists this ribosomal RNA (502 nucleotides) under uncultured Glomus. Its description in RNAcentral is "SSU rRNA". It matches the Rfam family "Eukaryotic small subunit ribosomal RNA", at positions 569 to 1074 of the family's 1831-position model. The record is from RNAcentral. Lineage: Eukaryota; Fungi; Glomeromycota; Glomeromycetes; Glomerales; Glomeraceae.
AGCAGCCGCGGUAAUUCCAGCUCCAAUAGCGUAUAUUAAAGUUGUUGCAGUUAAAAAGCUCGUAGUUGAAUUUCGGGGUCAGUAGGUUGGUCAUGCCACUGGUAUGUACUGGUCUCACUGAUUCCUCCUUCCUGAUGAACUGUAAUGCCAUUAAUUUGGUGUUGCAGGGAAUCUGGACUGUUACUUUGAAAAAUUAGAGUGUUUAAAGCAGGCUAACGCCUGAAUACAUUAGCAUGGAAUAAUGAAAUAGGACGUUCGAUCCUAUUUUGUUGGUUUCUAGGAUUGACGUAAUGAUUAAUAGGGAUAGUUGGGGGCAUUAGUAUUCAAUUGUCAGAGGUGAAAUUCUUGGAUUUAUUGAAGACUAACUACUGCGAAAGCAUUUGCCAAGGAUGUUUUCAUUAAUCAAGAACGAAAGUUAGGGGAUCGAAGACGAUCAGAUACCGUCGUAGUCUUAACCAUAAACUAUGCCGACUAGGGAUCGGAUGAUGUUAAUUUUUAAUGA